This 434-nucleotide ribosomal RNA is filed under the name uncultured Clostridiales Family XIV bacterium. RNAcentral's name for it is "bacterial SSU rRNA". It matches the Rfam family "Bacterial small subunit ribosomal RNA", at positions 341 to 792 of the family's 1533-position model. The record is from RNAcentral. Lineage: Bacteria; Bacillati; Bacillota; Clostridia; Eubacteriales; Clostridiales Family XIV. Incertae Sedis.
ACGGAAGGCAGCAGUGGGGAAUAUUGCACAAUGGGGGAAACCCUAAUGCAGCGACGCCGCGUGAGUGAAGAAGUAUUUCGGUAUGUAAAGCUCUAUCAGCAGGAAAGAAAAUGACGGUACCUGACUAAGAAGCCCCGGCUAACUACGUGCCAGCAGCCGCGGUAAUACGUAGGGGGCAAGCGUUAUCCGGAUUUACUGGGUGUAAAGGGAGCGUAGACGGCUUUGCAAGUCUGAAGUGAAAGCCCGGGGCUCAACCCCGGAACUGCUUUGGAAACUGUAGAGCUGGAGUGCAGGAGAGGUAAGUGGAAUUCCUAGUGUAGCGGUGAAAUGCGUAGAUAUUAGGAGGAACACCAGUGGCGAAGGCGGCUUACUGGACUGUAACUGACGUUGAGGCUCGAAGGCGUGGGGAGCAAACAGGAUUAGAUACCCUGGUA